This 448-nucleotide ribosomal RNA is filed under the name uncultured Burkholderia sp. RNAcentral describes it as "bacterial SSU rRNA". It matches the Rfam family "Bacterial small subunit ribosomal RNA", at positions 194 to 637 of the family's 1533-position model. Lineage: Bacteria; Pseudomonadati; Pseudomonadota; Betaproteobacteria; Burkholderiales; Burkholderiaceae. The record is from RNAcentral.
GGGGGANCUUAGGACCUCUCGCUACAGGGGCGGCCGAUGGCAGAUUAGCUAGUUGGUGGGGUAAAGGCCUACCAAGGCGACGAUCUGUAGCUGGUCUGAGAGGACGACCAGCCACACUGGGACUGAGACACGGCCCAGACUCCUACGGGAGGCAGCAGUGGGGAAUUUUGGACAAUGGGGGCAACCCUGAUCCAGCAAUGCCGCGUGUGUGAAGAAGGCCUUCGGGUUGUAAAGCACUUUUGUCCGGAAAGAAAACGUCGUGGUUAAUACCCGUGGCGGAUGACGGUACCGGAAGAAUAAGCACCGGCUAACUACGUGCCAGCAGCCGCGGUAAUACGUAGGGUGCAAGCGUUAAUCGGAAUUACUGGGCGUAAAGCGUGCGCAGGCGGUCCGCUAAGACAGAUGUGAAAUCCCCGGGCUUAACCUGGGAACUGCAUUUGUGACUGGC